This 695-nucleotide ribosomal RNA is filed under the name Squamanita sororcula. Its description in RNAcentral is "partial large subunit ribosomal RNA". It matches the Rfam family "Eukaryotic large subunit ribosomal RNA", at positions 1 to 668 of the family's 3401-position model. The record is from RNAcentral. Lineage: Eukaryota; Fungi; Basidiomycota; Agaricomycetes; Agaricales; Squamanitaceae.
CAAAUUAGGUAGGACUACCCGCUGAACUUAAGCAUAUCAAUAAGCGGAGGAAAAGAAACUAACAAGGAUUCCCCUAGUAACUGCGAGUGAAGCGGGAAAAGCUCAAAUUUGAAAUCUGGCAGCCGUGAGGUUGUCCGAGUUGUAAUCUAGAGAAGUGCCAUCUGUGUUGGACCAUGUACAAGUCUCCUGGAAUGGAGCAUCAUGGAGGGUGACAAUCCCGUCUUUGACAUGGACUACCAAUGCUUUGUGAUGCACUCUCGAAGAGUCGAGUUGUUUGGGAAUGCAGCUCCAAAUGGGUGGUAAAUUCCAUCUAAAGCUAAAUAUUGGCGAGAGACCGAUAGCGAACAAGUACCGUGAGGGAAAGAUGAAAAGGACUUUGGAAAGAGAGUUAAACAGUACGUGAAAUUGCUGAAAGGGAAACGCUUAAAGUCAGUUGCAUUGACUGGGAAUCAGCCCUGCAUCCUUAUGGUAUGCUGGGUGCACUUUCCAGUUGAUGGGUCAGCAUCAGUUUUGAACAUUGGAUAAAGGUAUGAGGAAUGUGGCAUUUAUUUAUAAAUGUGUUAUAGCCUCAUAUUGUAUGCAAUGGUUGGGACUGAGGAAUACAGCACGCCGAAAGGCCAGGGAUAAAACCCAUGAAUCGUGCUUAGGAUGGCUGGCAAAAUGGCUUUAAUCGACCCGUCUUGAAACACGGACCA